CAUUAACGAGUUAGGGUCUCUCUGGCCCGACCUCCCAACCCUUUGUCUACUUGACCAUCGUUGCUUCGGCGAGCCCGUCCUCACGGACCGCCGGAGGGAUCUUUACUGGCCCUCUGGUCCGCGCUCGUCGGUAGCCCAACCUUUAAAAUCUUUAACUAAACGUGCCUUAAUCUAAGUACAAUUAUUAAAUAAAAGCAAAACUUUCAACAACGGAUCUCUUGGUUCUGGCAUCGAUGAAGAACGCAGCGAAAUGCGAUAAGUAAUGCGAAUUGCAGAAUUCCAGUGAGUCAUCGAAUCUUUGAACGCACAUUGCGCCCUUUGGUAUUCCGAAGGGCAUGCCUGUUCGAGCGUCAUUAUCACCCCUCAAGCCCUCGGCUUGGUGUUGGACGGUUUGGUGGAGGCCCCCUCGGGGGUUCCUGCCCCUCCCAAAGACAAUGACGGCGGCCUCGUUGGACCCCCGGUACACUGAGUUCUUCACGGGACACGUAUCGGACACAUGGGUUUACGGGACACGGUCUGCCUCCCCUCAGGGAGAAUCUUUCUAAGGUUGACCUCGGAUCAGGUAGGGAUACCCGCUGAACUUAAGCAUAUCAAUAAGCGGAGGAAAAGAAACCAACAGGGAUUGCCUCAGUAACGGCGAGUGAAGCGGCAACAGCUCAAUUUGAAAUCUGGCCUCUUUGGGGUCCGAGUUGUAAUUUGUAGAGGAUGUUUCGGG
Molecule: ribosomal RNA, 715 nt
Filed under: fungal endophyte
Lineage: Eukaryota; Fungi
Description: eukaryotic LSU rRNA
Rfam family: 5.8S ribosomal RNA (bases 199-353)
Source: RNAcentral